RNAcentral lists this unclassified non-coding RNA (365 nucleotides) under soil metagenome. RNAcentral describes it as "partial contains 5.8S ribosomal RNA, internal transcribed spacer 2, and large subunit ribosomal RNA". The stretch from base 1 to 120 matches the Rfam family "5.8S ribosomal RNA", at positions 35 to 154 of the family's 154-position model. The record is from RNAcentral.
GAUGAAGAACGCAGCGAAAUGCGAUAAGUAGUGUGAAUUGCAGAAUUCAGUGAAUCAUCGAAUCUUUGAACGCACAUUGCGCCCCCUGGCAUUCCAGGGGGCAUGCCUGUUCGAGCGUCAUUUAGUAGCCAUCGAGCGAGUUCGCCUCGCUUGGGUCUGGGGGACGGUUGCAACUCGGUGCACCCACCCCCGAAAUACAACGGCGGACAAAAAAACCACCCCUCGGUACUGCAGCGUAGUAAGUUAUUCUUUCGCGAGCGGCCACGGGAGGGACCGUCCAGCCCGGCAAAAUCCCCAAAUCCAACGGUUGACCUCGGAUCAGGUAGGGAUACCCGCUGAACUUAAGCAUAUCAAUAAGCGGAGGA